UCUCCUUCUUCUCUGCAGCAACCGCAUCGGAUCCCUAGGGUUUAAGCCGCACAGCCUCCACAGCUCGAAACCCUCGCCGCCGAUCGGAUUCGGAGAAAGAGACGCGAAACAAGAUGUUCCUCGGCGCGGUCCCGCGUCGCCCGAGCAAGGAGGCUGCGUACAAGCAGCUGCGGUCGCACCUCGUCAUCAUGGCCUCCUGCGCCGCCGUCAUCCGCGCCGCCCCCUACAUCCUCCACUUCCUCACCCGCGACGGCGAUGUCCAGGAGCUCAAGCUCGAGCUCUAGGCCCCUCAGUUCCCAUGCCACCUCCAAAGGUUCUACAAAGGCAAUCGUCAUUUGAGACUACUGCAAAGUAAUAUGAAGUCAGCGACCCCAGUGCUACUUAAGUUUCUUUGUUCUUUCAAAUUUAGUGACAAUGGUGUAGUAACUGGCUUGUGACUGUGACCAGUAUUGCAUUUUGCCUAUCUGUAUGGUCUAGACUUGUCUGCAUUGGUGGAUCUGCAGAGAUGUUAUCAUUCAACCAUUCUCUGAGCUCAGUUGCCAUGUGUAGGACUUGUUUCGGCUUGAAUUUGUUAUGUGUCUGAGCUAUUCUUA
Molecule: long non-coding RNA, 593 nt
Organism: Sorghum bicolor (sorghum)
Lineage: Eukaryota; Viridiplantae; Streptophyta; Magnoliopsida; Poales; Poaceae
Exons: 2
Source: RefSeq, a predicted model, not a curated record